AGUGAACGCUGGCGGCGUGCUUAACACAUGCAAGUCGAACGAGAACGGACUUAAGCUUGCUUAAGUUGUCAGCUAAGUGGCGCACGGGUGAGUAAUGUAUAGUUAACCUGCCCUCUAGAGAGGAAUAACAGUUGGAAACGACUGCUAAUGCCUUAUAUGCCUUUAAGACAGAAGUCUGCAAGGGAAAUGCUUUAGUGCUAGAGGAUGGGACUGUAUGGUAUCAGUUAGUUGGUGGGGUAAUGGCUUACCAAGACAAUGACGCCUAACUGGUUUGAGAGGAUGAUCAGUCACACUGGAACUGAGACACGGUCCAGACUCCUACGGGAGGCAGCAGUGGGGAAUAUUGCACAAUGGAGGAAACUCUGAUGCAGCAACGCCGCGUGGAGGAUGAC
RNAcentral lists this ribosomal RNA (392 nucleotides) under uncultured Campylobacterota bacterium. RNAcentral describes it as "bacterial SSU rRNA". It matches the Rfam family "Bacterial small subunit ribosomal RNA", at positions 29 to 412 of the family's 1533-position model. The record is from RNAcentral. Lineage: Bacteria; Pseudomonadati; Campylobacterota.